This 1241-nucleotide long non-coding RNA is filed under the name Lathyrus oleraceus (garden pea). RNAcentral's name for it is "Pisum sativum (pea) long non-coding RNA (PSAT_LNC022300)". Lineage: Eukaryota; Viridiplantae; Streptophyta; Magnoliopsida; Fabales; Fabaceae. The record is from RNAcentral.
UUGGACUUCUAGAACCGUUGGAGAGAGAACGUGUUUUAUUUCUGAGAAAAGUGAAUUUUAAUUUUUAUCUUUCAAAUAUUUUUCUUUUUGUUUUUUAACAAAAGAAUUUUUGUUUAAUUUAAAUAUUCAAUAUUGUUUUAAUAAAAUAUUUUAUUUAAUAAAUAAAUAAUAAAACAUUGUCCAAUGGAUUUAUAAAAUGAGAUGGGUGGAUUGAAUCCAUCCAUAUGGUUUGAUGGAUGGAUUGGAUUAAAUCCAUUAAUUUUUUUUAUUGGAUGGAUUAAUUAUUGGAUGGAUUGGAUGGAUAUGUCUUUAAUGAUUUUAUUGCCACCCCUAAUCACAAUAUCAUAAACCAUAAUAGUCCAUGGCAAUGCAUCAAAGUGUACUUCAAACAUGAAAAGCCAUAUAUCAUUCUAACACCAACCCAAAUUCAAUCCAUAUAUCAUUCUAACACCAAUUAAUAUUCAAACAGAUUUUAACCUUCACUUCACAUUACUAACAUGCUUCUUUAACAAUCAGCUUCACUGUCCUAUUACACUACCUCAAAUUAGGUUCAAUCAAUAACAGAACAAAACAACAACACAUUCAUUUAACAGGAAGUCAACCCAAUAGGUUUUAACCUAACUGCAACUAACAUUAACACAUGAAAUUCACUUAACAGAAAUCGCAUAAGAUAACAUGAACACAUUCAACAAGUUGGCACUGACUUCAGAUUUCUCUUUCUAAACUAAAUGGCAUGGCUCUCAACAGUUUAGUACAUACAGUCAUCAAUUUAGUGUAUUAACUCUUAAUCAAUUACAUUUGCAAACCCGCAUUUUAUUAGACAUUAUUCCUUCACCAGUAUCAACAGAUUCACAUAGCAGUUUUUAACCUAACUAAUGUUUUUUCCUUCAUUUUAAACUAACCUACUACACUUACUUUUCAUUUGAAUUAUGCUAACCUAACAAUCUAACUGAUUUAUUGAAUACAUAACAAAGUAUACAAAAACACAUCAACAAAUUCAGUUGAAACACAACCUAACAAACUUAACAGUGAUAACAAAAAUUCUAACUAACAACUUAACAUAAGCUUUCCUAUAACUAACUUUUCACUCAAAGUUAACUAACUACAAACCUAAUUAACUUCUAAUAGACAUUGAACCUUAACUAACUCUCACGAAUCCCUAGAACUAACAGUGUGAUCAAAGAUAACUGUUUUUCACCUAAUUGAGAUUAACUCUCCGUUAAUCUUCAACCUCUAUAAAU